GAUUUGCGUGAGGGAUAGAGGCGAUAUCCUUUUUUAGGCUUUUUUCAGCCUGAAAAAGAUAAAGCCGAAAGCCCGGUCGCUU
RNAcentral lists this small RNA (82 nucleotides) under Flavobacterium micromati. RNAcentral describes it as "Flavo-1 RNA". It matches the Rfam family "Flavo-1 RNA". The record is from Rfam by way of RNAcentral. Lineage: Bacteria; Pseudomonadati; Bacteroidota; Flavobacteriia; Flavobacteriales; Flavobacteriaceae.